CUGGCGGCGUGCCUAACACAUGCAAGUCGAACGAGAAAGCGGGGGCAACUCCGCGAGUAAAGUGGCGACCGGGUGAGUAGCACGUGACUAACCUGCCCUCGAGUGGGGAAUAACCCCGGGAAACCGGGGCUAAUACCGCAUAAUGUCCUUGAUACGAAGUGUUGAGGAUCAAAGGAGCAAUUCGCUUGAGGAGGGGGUCGCGGCCGAUUAGCUAGUUGGCGGGGUAACGGCCCACCAAGGCUCAGAUCGGUAGCCGGCCUGAGAGGGCGCACGGCCACACUGGAACUGAAACACGGUCCAGACUCCUACGGGAGGCAGCAGUGGGGAAUUUUGCGCAAUGGGGGAAACCCUGACGCAGCAACGCCGCGUGGAGGAUGAAGUCCCUUGGGACGUAAACUCCUUUCGACCGGGAAGAUAAUGACGGUACCGGAAGAAGAAGCACCGGCUAACUCUGUGCCAGCAGCCGCGGUAAUACAGAGGGUGCGAGCGUUGUUCGGAAUUAUUGGGCGUAAAGGGCGCGUANGCGGUGCGGUAAGUCACCUGUGAAAUCUCCUGGCUCAACUGGGAGCUUGCAGGCGAAACUGCCGUGCUGGAGUGUGGGAAANGUGCGUGGAA
Molecule: ribosomal RNA, 615 nt
Filed under: uncultured bacterium
Lineage: Bacteria
Description: bacterial SSU rRNA
Rfam family: Bacterial small subunit ribosomal RNA
Source: RNAcentral